GCAAACGACGGUCAAGGGCGCGGGGGAACACGUAGGGGGGAAGCGUGGGCCGGAUGUAUUGGGCGGAAAGAGCUCGUAGUGGGUUCGGUAAGUCGGGUGUGAAACCUCCAAGCUCAACCUGGAGACGCCACCCGAUACUGCCGUGACUAGAGUCCAGUAGGGGAGCGUGGAAUUCCUGGUGUAGCGGUGAAAUGCGCAGAUAUCAGGAGGAACACCAGCGGCGAAGGCGGCGCUCUGGGCUGGCACUGACACUGAGGAGCGAAAGCGUGGGGAGCGAACAGGAUUAGAUACCCCUGAGUC
This 300-nucleotide ribosomal RNA is filed under the name uncultured Sulfurisphaera sp. RNAcentral's name for it is "bacterial SSU rRNA". It matches the Rfam family "Bacterial small subunit ribosomal RNA", at positions 496 to 795 of the family's 1533-position model. The record is from RNAcentral. Lineage: Archaea; Thermoproteati; Thermoproteota; Thermoprotei; Sulfolobales; Sulfolobaceae.